Molecule: ribosomal RNA, 468 nt
Filed under: uncultured bacterium
Lineage: Bacteria
Description: partial 16S ribosomal RNA
Rfam family: Bacterial small subunit ribosomal RNA
Source: RNAcentral
GACGAACGCUGGCGGCGUGCUUAACACAUGCAAGUCGAACGGAAAGGCCCUGCUUUUGUGGGGUGCUCGAGUGGCGAACGGGUGAGUAACACGUGAGUAACCUGCCCUUGACUUUGGGAUAACUUCAGGAAACUGGGGCUAAUACCGGAUAGGAGCUCCUGCUGCAUGGUGGGGGUUGGAAAGUUUCGGCGGUUGGGGAUGGACUCGCGGCUUAUCAGCUUGUUGGUGGGGUAGUGGCUUACCAAGGCUUUGACGGGUAGCCGGCCUGAGAGGGUGAACGGCCACAUGGGGACUGAGAGACGGCCCAGACUCCUACGGGAGGCAGCAGUGGGGAAUAUUGCACAAUGGGCGGAAGCCUGAUGCAGCAACGCCGCGUGCGGGAUGACGGCCUUCGGGUUGUAAACCGCUUUCGCCUGUGACGAAGCGUGAGUGACGGUAAUAGGUAAAGAAGCACCGGCUAACUACGUG